Molecule: ribosomal RNA, 497 nt
Filed under: uncultured bacterium
Lineage: Bacteria
Description: partial 16S ribosomal RNA
Rfam family: Bacterial small subunit ribosomal RNA
Source: RNAcentral
GAUGAACGCUGGCGGCGUGCCUAAUACAUGCAAGUCGAGCGAACAGACGAGGAGCUUGCUCCUCUGACGUUAGCGGCGGACGGGUGAGUAACACGUGGAUAACCUACCUAUAAGACUGGGAUAACUUCGGGAAACCGGAUCUAAUACCGGAUAAUAUAUUGAACCGCAUGGUUCAAUAGUGAAAGACGGUUUUGCUGUCACUUAUAGAUGGAUCCGCGCCGCAUUAGCUAGUUGGUAAGGUAACGGCUUACCAAGGCAACGAUGCGUAGCCGACCUGAGAGGGUGAUAGGCGACACUGGAACUGAGACACGGUCCAGACUCCUACGGGAGGCAGCAGUAGGGAAGCUUCCGCAAUGGGCGAAAGCGUGACGGAGCAACGCAGCGUGAGUGAUGAAGGUAUUCGGAUCGUAAAACUCUGUUAUUAGGGAAGAACAAAUGUGUAAGUAACUAUGCACGUCUUGACGGUACCUAAUCAGAAAGCCACGGCUAACUACGUG